AUGAGGGAAGGGAUAAGGUCCCGAGCGCUUGCUUCCUCCCGCCGCCUCCUUCUCUUCCUUUUCCUCUUCCUCUCCCUCGGCGUAGCCCCUCCACCUCCCUCCUCCGUCGACGGCGCCUGGUCCAGCUCUGUUCGUGGUCGCGCUCAUGCAGCUCCCUCUCUGCUGCAGGAGGAUUGGAUUGGUUUCUACAUGCCCUAUUAUUUGUUUGAGAACUUGAGAUGCGGCCCUCCAAAUCUUCGGUCCCAGAAGGAGGAUUUGAGAGUGGAGAAGGGUCACCUGAAUGCGAUUUGGAGGAAGGAGUUAUCCAGGAACCAAAAUAUCAUUAUUUUACUAUUCUGCAGGGGAGAAUCUAAAGAUUAUUUGUUUCUUUUUAUGGCUGCAGAUCGCGUUUAG
Molecule: ribosomal RNA, 393 nt
Filed under: Triticum aestivum (bread wheat)
Lineage: Eukaryota; Viridiplantae; Streptophyta; Magnoliopsida; Poales; Poaceae
Description: partial small subunit ribosomal RNA
Source: RNAcentral